UACGAAGGGGGCUAGCGUUGCUCGGAAUCACUGGGCGUAAAGCGCACGUAGGCGGGUCGUUAAGUCGGGGGUGAAAUCCUGGAGCUCAACUCCAGAACUGCUUUCGAUACUGGCGACCUUGAGUCCAGGAGAGGUGAGUGGAACUCCGAGUGUAGAGGUGAAAUUCGUAGAUAUUCGGAAGAACACCAGUGGCGAAGGCGGCUCACUGGCCCGGUACUGACGCUGAGGUGCGAAAGCGUGGGGAGCAAACAGG
Molecule: ribosomal RNA, 253 nt
Filed under: uncultured bacterium
Lineage: Bacteria
Description: partial 16S ribosomal RNA
Rfam family: Bacterial small subunit ribosomal RNA
Source: RNAcentral